AGCGGAGCCGGGCCCCGCGAUCCGGCCCGGGUUUUGCAUGCCACCCACUCGCCCGCUCGGCCGCGGAGAAUUCCAUAAUCACAGCGGGCGAGAGCGGAGACUGGGAGCGAAAAAUCCGGGAUCCGGCAACUUUAGGCAGCGCAUGCGCGCCCACGGCGCUCCAUCCCAAACACACACACAUUUUUCCCCCGGACUUGGAAAGUCACCCAAAGCCGCCCCAAGUGCAGAUCCAGAGAUCUGGGGGUCCAAGUCAUGUGACCUUGCGUCAGUUACUUACUAGGCUGUGGCUCGGUGUUUCUCAUCUGUGAAACGGGAAGCACUUGGUCUCUACAUAUCCGGGGAGCCAGGACUGCCUUAGGCACACAGACCUCACUGACUGAAGGCAAAGACACUUCCAUCCCACCUGCCCUUCCAGCUGCCCCGGCCACGGAUCCCUCCUUCACAAGGGAGUCUUGCAGCUCCCCAGUGCCACACAUUGGAAUGGACUUCGGACCCUGGCCUCUUGGGAUGCAAAGGAUGAAGUGACGCCCCAGCUACAUUCGAGGCACCUCUAGGACCCGCUACAAGAGUUUGGGACCAAGGAGCGCAGAAUGGAUCUCGGAACAGGUACCGGCCGGUGGGAACCCGCGGGAGGCUCUUUCACUUUUCUUUCAGUUCUUUUACGGAAGUUAUUCUUUUUAGUCCAAUGAGCUCGCGGCGGAGCAGGGUGCCGGCCGGGCCGAGGGUCGGUGCUACCGCCCCUGCGCUCGCUGCUCUCUGGAUGGCGAGAUGGUUAUUAUUUGUUACUUGCUUAGUGACUGUGACUAAUUUAAUGCUUGUCAUUGUGAAAGAACCGAGAGGACAGGGAGCUGGGGGGCACCCGAGGAGAUGAUUUAGGGGGUUUUUGUGGGGGUUUUUGUUCUCCAUGUUUUUGUAUGGGUCCGUGUUUUUAAAAUAUACAUAUACUUUUCCCCCCUCUGUAAAGAGCUCUGUGUGUCUGGCUAUGGGGUGUAUGUUUUUAUUUUUUUUAGUGGGGGGUGGUUUAGUUUUUGAAAGCAGCGUCCUGUUGGGAAAGGUGGUUAGUCUGGUUUCGGGGCGACUGUCUCAAGGUAAAGGAAUUUAAUUUAUUUGGGACAAGGCUGUGUCGGAUGAUCAAGCUGCUUAUUAUGGCUAAUGAGUGUUUUUCACCUGAGAAUCUGUGGGCUGAGGCUGCUGUUAUCAGUUCAAAGUGAGGGGCCCAGGACUCUCUCCCGGCCCCCUUUUAGCCCCCGCCCUGGAGGUGUUGAUGGGCCAGACUAACUUUAGGUAUCUGGGUCUGGGGGCCUAGGUUGGGACGCAGGUCAGGCUCCACGUAGCUGCUGGCCUGGGACAGAGUUUAUCCUGGGAAUUGGGUGUCUUACUGGUUUUAAUCUAGUUUUGUUCAGUCGUUCUCUUCACACCCUGGCUCCCAGCCUGAGCUGAGAGAGCACUGUCUCAGCGCUUCAGGCUCCCUCCAGCCCUCUUAUCGAAACCAGGUUUUAUCAGGACCCUCACAUACUAGGUCUUCAGAAGCAGCUCACUGCCCUCUAAAUGUCUUAAAAGAAACAAACAGGUUGAGGUUGCUAACUGACUGGGACUGAUCUCUGAACCCUUCGGUUCCAUUUAUAGAAGGAAAGGUGGCUUUGGUGGCUGUUAAGGGUUGUUAAACUUGUAGUUCAUGACAGGCCCAAGUUCAUGGAUCCCUUGGGACCCAGGAGCUGACUUCUGACCCUCUGAGGUCAGAGGGGAGUAGGCUGAGAGGGCAAGGGGUGGCAUUGGUGAGUGGCAUGGUAGCUGGUGUUAACAAGGGGGUGUGUGUUGUGGGGGAGGCAGUUUUUCACAGAAUUUUUAGACUGUCCCCACAGGUGUGAUCUUGGCUAAGGGGAUGUGGAGGUCCCCAGGACCUCUUUGCCCAGGAAGGGUGAGACGCCCCCUGCUGGGCAAAGUGGUGAAGGUGUCCAGAGGCCACUGAUACCACCCUGCCCCUCCCGGCCCUCCACGCCCACAGAGAACCAGCCCGCCCCCACCUCUAAUCAGGUGUCUCAUCGCUGAGCUCUCAGGCCCCACCCCCUUUCUUCGGAAAUGGGGCCCCCACCCAGCCCAGCCAAGGAGCAGCCCUCAGAGAUGGGCCGGGCAUUGUCACCACCCCCUACCUGGCACAGGCAAGCCUCUGCCCAUGGGCGGGCAUAUGGGACCCAGGCAUUACUCAGCUGGAAGGCAGGCCUUCCUGUCUUCCUCCUUCUAACCCCAGUGCCAACUGGAGCUGGUGCCUAUCCUCCUGCCGUGCCAGUCCCUCCCGGGCUGCUGUUGGGGCACUGCUCCACAGCCCUUCUGUGGGGUUUCCCGAUAGCCUGGUGGGAGGCAAGUGACAGGACCUCCCAUGGUACUUCCUGGAACCUUAGAGAGACUUCUCCCGGCACUCCAGGGUCAAGCUCUGGAAACUUUUCCUAGAAGCCAGAAGGGCCCCAGAGGUCAGCUGGAGAGAGACACUCCCAGUGGGACUCGGGCCUGGACUCUGGCCACUGAGAGAGGGGAGGUCCAGGGUGUCAAAGUUCUGACAGUUUCCUGGAGGAAUCAUCUGGUGAUACCAUCUCAGUCUUUUUCUCUGAACUUGGAAGUUUCACUUAAUCUCAGAACUUCUGAAGAAAAGGACUUUUUUUCCUCACUUCACACACACACACACACACACACACACACACACACACACACAAUGGGAAGGAGGGACUCAUCCUUUCUGGGCCUGUCUCCCAACCUCUGGAAGGUGCAAGGGACACAGGGCUUGUUGCUGGUGGGAUGCAGGGCUCUUUUCCUUUGGGGGUAGCAAAGGAGCUUUAGCCAAGGGCCUCUUAGCACAGUGUGAGGUUGGAGAUGCCACCUUUGGGACCCAAAAGAGUUGCCAGCACAAAUAUUGGAUCAUGGAUUAACAUCCCCUCUGGUCAUGACACAUCUAGUCCUGAAGCACCCAGGCCAUAACUAAUUCAUUGUCGAGUGAGUCGAGUCUGCUCAGGAGGGGACAGCAGGACCUCAAGACCCUCAAAGUGGCCAUGUGGACCCCUUCUCCUCUACCAUAGUUCAGCCAAGGGCUGGAUCAAUCUGGACGUCUUUAGCAAUAAAAAAUGCCGAUGUCGUCCUAAUUCACCAGGCCCCGAGAUGACAGCAAAUUUACAUUUUUUAAUUAAACUAGCAGCCAGUUUUUAUGAGAGGGGGUUGGGUUAUGCAAAUCAAAUGGUUGUGUACGGAAGAUUAGGAGAGUUUGGGAAUAAAUUCCACAAAUGCUAAUAAAAAAAAGAGGAAAGAGAGAG
Long non-coding RNA from Heterocephalus glaber (naked mole-rat), 3299 nucleotides. NCBI's taxonomy places the organism in Eukaryota, Metazoa, Chordata, Mammalia, Rodentia, Bathyergidae. The record is from Ensembl.